RNAcentral lists this ribosomal RNA (465 nucleotides) under uncultured bacterium. RNAcentral describes it as "partial 16S ribosomal RNA". It matches the Rfam family "Bacterial small subunit ribosomal RNA", at positions 28 to 507 of the family's 1533-position model. The record is from RNAcentral.
GACGAACGCUGGCGGCGUGCUUAACACAUGCAAGUCGUACGGUAAGGCCCUUUCGGGGGUACACGAGUGGCGAACGGGUGAGUAACACGUGAGUAACCUGCCCACAACUUUGGGAUAACGCUAGGAAACUGGUGCUAAUACUGGAUAUGUGCUCCUGCUGCAUGGUGGGGGUUGGAAAGCUCCGGCGGUUGUGGAUGGACUCGCGGCCUAUCAGCUUGUUGGUGGGGUAGUGGCCUACCAAGGCGGCGACGGGUAGCCGGCCUGAGAGGGUGACCGGCCACAUUUGGACUGAGAUACGGCCCAGACUCCUACGGGGGGCAGCAGGUGGGAAUAUUGCACAAAGGGCGGGAGCCUGAUGCAGCAACGCCGCGGGCGGGAUGACGGCCUUCGGGUUGGAAACCGCUUUCAGCAGGGACGAAGCUUUUUGUGACGGUACCUGCAGAAGAAGCACCGGCUAACUACGUG